Molecule: ribosomal RNA, 468 nt
Filed under: uncultured bacterium
Lineage: Bacteria
Description: partial 16S ribosomal RNA
Rfam family: Bacterial small subunit ribosomal RNA
Source: RNAcentral
GACGAACGCUGGCGGCGUGCUUAACACAUGCAGGUCGAACGGAAAGGCCCUGCUUUUGUGGGGUGCUCGAGUGGCGAACGGGUGAGUAACACGUGAGUAACCUGCCCAUGACUUUGGGAUAACUUCAGGAAACUGGGGCUAAUACCGGAUAGGAGCUCCUGCUGCAUGGUGGGGGUUGGAAAGUUUCGGCGGUUGGGGAUGGACUCGCGGCUUAUCAGCUUGUUGGUGGGGUAGUGGCUUACCAAGGCUUUGACGGGUAGCCGGCCUGAGAGGGUGACCGGCCACAUUGGGACUGAGAUACGGCCCAGACUCCUACGGGAGGCAGCAGUGGGGAAUAUUGCACAAUGGGCGGAAGCCUGAUGCAGCAACGCCGCGUGCGGGAUGACGGCCUUCGGGUUGUAAACCGCUUUCGCCUGUGACGAAGCGUGAGUGACGGUAAUGGGUAAAGAAGCACCGGCUAACUACGUG